This 468-nucleotide ribosomal RNA is filed under the name uncultured bacterium. RNAcentral's name for it is "partial 16S ribosomal RNA". It matches the Rfam family "Bacterial small subunit ribosomal RNA", at positions 28 to 507 of the family's 1533-position model. The record is from RNAcentral.
GAUGAACGCUGGCGGCGUGCUUAACACAUGCAAGUCGAACGGUGAAGGCGGAGCUUGCUUUGCUGGAUCAGUGGCGAACGGGUGAGUAACACGUGAGCAAUCUGCCCCUGACUCUGGGAUAAGCGCUGGAAACGGCGUCUAAUACUGGAUACGAGCUGCGAAGGCAUCUUCAGCAGCUGGAAAGAAUUUCGGUCAGGGAUGAGCUCGCGGCCUAUCAGCUUGUUGGUGAGGUAAUGGCUCACCAAGGCGUCGACGGGUAGCCGGCCUGAGAGGGUGACCGGCCACACUGGGACUGAGACACGGCCCAGACUCCUACGGGAGGCAGCAGUGGGGAAUAUUGCACAAUGGGCGAAAGCCUGAUGCAGCAACGCCGCGUGAGGGACGACGGCCUUCGGGUUGUAAACCUCUUUUAGCAGGGAAGAAGCGAAAGUGACGGUACCUGCAGAAAAAGCGCCGGCUAACUACGUG